RNAcentral lists this long non-coding RNA (368 nucleotides) under Panax ginseng (ginseng). Its description in RNAcentral is "long non-coding RNA (PGIN_LNC004822)". The record is from RNAcentral. Lineage: Eukaryota; Viridiplantae; Streptophyta; Magnoliopsida; Apiales; Araliaceae.
AGAAGAAGAAAAUGCUCAACUGUGCUUCACUGGAAUAUACAAUAAGGAAACAUCCGAGGUAAGUCCUGAACUUGGAGAAAUUACUAUUUCUGAUUAUCUUGCUUUACAUAAUGAAAAUCAAAAGCUUAAAAAGAAAACUGCUUAUUUUAAGAACUGCGUAAAUGAGCUAAUGAAUGAAGUUGAGUCACUUAUUGAAGAAAGAAAAGAAAAUGAAUAUCUUAAAAAUGAAAAUCAAAUUUUAAAAGAAAAAUUAAAAAUGAGAGAUGUAUGCAUAGAUGCUUUUAAUGAUGGAAAAAUUAUGAAUAUGCAACAUGAUGAUAAUGUAAUGAAUGCAGAAAUAGCAUCUUUAAAAAAUGAUCUUGCUAAAU